UAUGAAGGUCAGGCUGAAGACCUUACCCGAUUAGCUGAGAGGUGGUGCAUGGCCGUCGUCAGUUCGUACUGUGAAGCAUCCUGUUAAGUCAGGCAACGAGCGAGACCCACGUCCACAGUUGCCAGCAUACCCUCCGGGGUGAUGGGUACACUGUGGAGACCGCCGCUGCUAAAGCGGAGGAAGGAGUGGGCAACGGUAGGUCAGUAUGCCCCGAAUCUCCCGGGCUACACGCGGGCUACAAUGGUUGGUACAAUGGGCAUCUACCCCGAAAGGGGAAGGAAAAUCUCUUAAAGCCAAUCGUAGUUCGGAUUGAGGGCUGCAACUCGCCCUCAUGAAGCUGGAAUCCGUAGUAAUCGCGUUUCAACAGAACGCGGUGAAUACGUCCCUGCUCCUU
Molecule: ribosomal RNA, 394 nt
Filed under: uncultured Methanosaeta sp.
Lineage: Archaea; Methanobacteriati; Methanobacteriota; Methanomicrobia; Methanotrichales; Methanotrichaceae
Description: bacterial SSU rRNA
Rfam family: Archaeal small subunit ribosomal RNA
Source: RNAcentral